Molecule: ribosomal RNA, 468 nt
Filed under: uncultured bacterium
Lineage: Bacteria
Description: partial 16S ribosomal RNA
Rfam family: Bacterial small subunit ribosomal RNA
Source: RNAcentral
GACGAACGCUGGCGGCGUGCUUAAUACAUGCAAGUCGAACGGAAAGGCCCUGCUCUUGUGGGGUGGUCGUGUGCCGAACGGGUGUGUAACACGCGAGUAACCCGCCCUUGUCUUUGGGAUAACAUCAGGAAACUGCGGCUCAUACCGGAUAUGAUCUCUUGCUCCAUGGUGGUGGUUGGAAAGUUACGGCGUUUGGGGCUGGGGUCGCGGCUUAUGCGCUGGUUGGUGAGGUAGUGGCUGACCAAGCCUUUGACGGGUAGCCUGCCUGGGAGGGUGACCAGCGACAUUGCGACUGAGGUACGGCGCAGUAGCGUACGGGAGGCAGCAGGGGGGAAUAUUACACAGUGGGCGGGAGCCAGAUACAGAAACGCUGCGUGCGUAAUGACCGGCUUCUAGUUGUGAACCGAUUUCGACGGUGACGAGGCGUGAGUGACGGUAAUGAGUAAAGAAGCACCGGCUAACUACGUG